This 516-nucleotide ribosomal RNA is filed under the name uncultured bacterium. Its description in RNAcentral is "bacterial LSU rRNA". It matches the Rfam family "Bacterial large subunit ribosomal RNA", at positions 23 to 577 of the family's 2925-position model. The record is from RNAcentral.
GGUGGAUGCCCUGGCAGUCAGAGGCGAUGAAGGACGUGCUAAUCUGCGAAAAGCGUCGGUAAGGUGAUAUGAACCGUUAUAACCGGCGAUGUCCGAAUGGGGAAACCCAGUGCAAUUCGUUGCACUAUCGUUAACUGAAUACAUAGGUUAACGAGGCGAACCGGGGGAACUGAAACAUCUAAGUACCCCGAGGAAAAGAAAUCAACCGAGAUUCCCCCAGUAGCGGCGAGCGAACGGGGAGCAGCCCAGAGUCUGAAUCAGCUUGUGUGUUAGUGGAACGGUCUGGAAAGUCCGACGGUACAGGGUGAUAGUCCCGUACACCAAAAUGCACAGGCUGUGAACUCGAAGAGUAGGGCGGGACACGUGGUAUCCUGUCUGAAUAUGGGGGGACCAUCCUCCAAGGCUAAAUACUCCUGACUGACCGAUAGUGAACCAGUACCGUGAGGGAAAGGCGAAAAAGAACCCCGGCGAGGGGAGUGAAAAAGAACCUGAAACCGUGUACGUACAAGCAGUGGG